Molecule: ribosomal RNA, 236 nt
Filed under: uncultured Candidatus Saccharibacteria bacterium
Lineage: Bacteria; Candidatus Saccharimonadota
Description: partial 16S ribosomal RNA
Rfam family: Bacterial small subunit ribosomal RNA
Source: RNAcentral
UAAGUGAAUAGUGAAAGCUGGAGGCUCAACCUUACAGACUAUUAUUCAAACUGGCAAACUCGAGAAUGGUAGAGGUAACUGGAAUUUCUUGUGUAGGAGUGAAAUCCGUAGAUAUAAGAAGGAACACCAGUGGCGUAGGCAGGUUACUGGACCAUUUCUGACACUGAGGCACGAAAGCGUGGGGAGCGAACGGGAUUAGAUACCCCGGUAGUCCACGCCGUAAACGAUGGAUACUA